Molecule: ribosomal RNA, 1479 nt
Filed under: metagenome
Description: bacterial SSU rRNA
Rfam family: Bacterial small subunit ribosomal RNA
Source: RNAcentral
GGGUUUGAUCCUGGCUCAGGAUGAACGCUAGCGGCAGGCCUAACACAUGCAAGUCGAGGGGUAAUCCCGCUUUCGGGCGGGAACGACCGGCGCACGGGUGAGUAACGCGUAUGCAACCUACCUUUAACUGGGGGAUAGCCCGAAGAAAUUCGGAUUAAUACCCCAUAUAACUAUAGAUAAGCAUUUAUUUAUAUUAAAAACUCCGGUGGUUAAAGAUGGGCAUGCGUAACAUUAGUUAGUUGGUGAGGUAACGGCUCACCAAGACUACGAUGUUUAGGGGGCCUGAGAGGGUGGUCCCCCACACUGGUACUGAGACACGGACCAGACUCCUACGGGAGGCAGCAGUGAGGAAUAUUGCGCAAUGGAGGCAACUCUGACGCAGCCAUGCCGCGUGCAGGAUGACGGCCCUACGGGUUGUAAACUGCUUUUAUACAGGAAGAACUUUCCGCACGUGUGCGGGAUUGACGGUACUGUACGAAUAAGCACCGGCUAACUCCGUGCCAGCAGCCGCGGUAAUACGGAGGGUGCAAGCGUUAUCCGGAUUUAUUGGGUUUAAAGGGUGCGUAGGCGGGAUAAUAAGUCAGUGGUGAAAUACUGCAGCUCAACUGUAGAACUGCCAUUGAUACUGUUAUUCUUGAGUUCGAUUGAGGUAGGCGGAAUGUGUAAUGUAGCGGUGAAAUGCUUAGAUAUUACACAGAACACCGAUUGCGUAGGCAGCUUACUAAGUCGACACUGACGCUGAGGCACGAAAGCGUGGGGAGCGAACAGGAUUAGAUACCCUGGUAGUCCACGCUGUAAACUAUGAUCACUAGCUGUUGGCGAUACAUCGAUCAGCGGCAAAGCGAAAGCAUUAAGUGAUCCACCUGGGGAGUACGGUCGCAAGAUUGAAACUCAAAGGAAUUGACGGGGGCCCGCACAAGCGGUGGAACAUGUGGUUUAAUUCGAUGGUACGCGAGGAACCUUACCUGGGCUUAAAUGCAGAUUGACGUUUCGGGAAACCGGAAUUCUCUUCGGAGCGAUUUGCAAGGUGCUGCAUGGUUGUCGUCAGCUCGUGCCGUGAGGUGUCGGGUUAAGUCCCAUAACGAGCGCAACCCCUAUCGUUAGUUGCCAGCGGAUAAUGCCGGGGACUCUAACGAAACUGCCGGUGUAAACCGAGAGGAAGGUGGGGAUGACGUCAAAUCAGCACGGCCCUUAUGUCCAGGGCUACACACGUGUUACAAUGGUCGGUACAGAGGGCAGCUACCUGGUGACAGGAUGCUAAUCUCGAAAGCCGGUCUUAGUUCGGAUCGAAGUCUGCAACUCGACUUCGUGAAGCUGGAAUCGCUAGUAAUCGCGUAUCAGCAACGACGCGGUGAAUACGUUCCCGGGCCUUGUACACACCGCCCGUCAAGCCAUGGAAGCUGGGGGUACCUGAAGUCUGUAACCGCAAGGAGCGGCCUAGGGUAAAACUAGUGACUGGGGCUAAGUCGUAACAAGGUA